AACAUUGUAUAAAGUCUGGGGUAGAGUCAGAUAGUUUUGGUUCGACUACUUUAUCUGCUAAGGAUAAGAUAGGGAUAGUUACGAACCCAGAGCUCUGCAAAUGUAUAGACUCCUCUGUCAGGAAUAAAUUGGUUGGUUUUUAUACAUUGUUGUGAACGAAGUUCUUUCACGAAAACGAACACGCUUGGAACCACGGGAGUUAGGAGAUUUUAAAACACAGGUUCCUUUAAAUGGUGACCCCGACAUGAUCCUGAAAGGACAUUAGAUAAAAAGACAGAGGAGCGGACAGGAAUUCAGUUGAACUGCAAAUCUCCCCGGUGCACCGAAAUAAAAAAGGUGAGCAGAAGCCUGUUUGAUAAUAUCACGAAUUCUGCACAUUGGAAAUUUCGAAAUUUGGGAGACUUGUGGUACAGUUGUUUUGUUGUCAAUAGUUAAUAAGACGUUGUGUAGUUAAAAUUGCAUAAUUAAAAGUCAGGGUAACGGAGGACCUGACGUCAGGGUAACAAGGUACCUGACAAAACCAGGAUAACAGAAAAUCCUGGGAUAAAGUAGGGUAACAAGGUACCUACUUGUCUCGUCGUAGACUGACUUGAAAUCGGACGUGGUUUCAAAUUGUAACGUUUCGGUAGACGUUGGGGAUUUUGGGACCCCCAAAAACCGAUUUAGAAUAAGAUGAGUGUGCCACCAAAACUCGGGGUUGUGAAUUGGACAGUCGAGGUAAUGAAUGUGAUAUGUGUCGGAUUUGUGGAUUGAAAGAGAAAGGCAGAAAAAGAAACAAACAGGAUUAAGAAGUGUGUGGGCAAAAUGGAAAAGAAAAAGGAAUGUAAGUUGUUUCACGUAACAGAGAGGUUAUUCUGAAAGGAAAAGAAAUGAAGGAGAAGUUGGUCACUGCAGGGUGGAUGGAGAAAAUGAAUUUGAAUAAAAAAAUAGAAGAGAAUGAAGAAUGGAGGAGAAAAAUUCAUGAGAUUUGUGUGGUGUCAACGGCAAUGGCAGCAGUUCGGGGCGAAAAAGCGCAUCAAAUUGCCCCACUAAAUUCGAUUAGGGACCAUUUAGCGGCCCCCCUGUAACUUCCCUCUAUCCGGUUUUGCCGGUAGAGCGAGCCGCUAAGAUAACACACCAAGACAAUGGGGAAGUAAAGCUCCCAUUGACACCCCCAGCCUAUACUACUCUUAACCAAUCUGACAAACGGCAACCUAAGCACCCACUACAAGCACCCGUAUACCAAAUAGUGGGUGAAGUGAAUCUGUUGGGAACAUCAGCAAUACCUGAAUUGACCCAACAGCAGCGUACUACCAUGGAAGAAAUAGUGACUGCUAACUGACAAGGUACAGUAGAAUAUCAAAAUUCUAACUGCCAAACCUUGAGACAGGAGGAACCAUCCCCGAGAGGAGACGAGCCUGCAGACAAAGGAGCGGGCAACAUCGCCACACCAGGGGGUUCCGCCCGAAUAACCGACAGACAGGUUUGGCAAACCACGUUGCAGGAAGAGUUGACUUCUAGUAUUAAUAAGAGAGGUUCCUGCUUGAGGGAACCGAGACAUAGUGACGAGUCUGACUCUGAAUUUGAUGAGGAUGUGGAGGGGGAGCUUCCCCCACCGCCCCCUCCGACAGACAAAGACUUGACAGCAGAAGACCAAAGAAGGCAACAAGCUAAGCUAAUGACUUCUGGGGAAGCACGUAAAUGGAUGGAAAAGGCUUAUCAGCCCCCAUGCCGGGACCGAGUCAAGACGAGGUCCCAGACUGGAACCAGAAUUAAGAGUCCGACGAGAUAUACCCCGACUCCCGAAACGACUGCCCGGACUGGCAGCUGGCGGUGAAAUGUGGAUUCAAGCGCUGAAGAGGUUGACGGACGGCAUGAGCCUGGCAUGUGGUGACAUAGUGAGAUUGAUACGCGCCUGUUGCAUUUCGGUUCACCAAUCGGAUGAUAUUUUGACACGGUCGGGUCUGAAUAAUGUCGAACCUGAAAUUUUAUUUGCCCCUUUUGCUCCUAUAGUAUUUGCUGUGUGAUAUUUUUAUAUGGGUAACUCCGAAUAAAAAUGUUGAUUUCAUAAAUUACCAUCAUGACCAAAUUCAAAGAUUGGUGAAUUUCACCUCCCAACUAGCGGAGGGCAUCCAUGAGCAACUAUCGGCUACAUCUCUCAUGGCAUUCCAAAAUAGGUUGGUCCUUGAUAGUAUGUUAGCGGAAGAAGGGAGUGCCUGCUCUCGAAUUAAAGGACAUUGUUGUACAAUUAUCCCCAAUAAUACGGCGCCGAACGGAAAGAUCACCAGAGCCAUGAAAGGUUUGCAAGCCAUGUCUGUUAAACUUAAAUCAAUGUCUGGAGUGGAGGACGACCCAUUCUAUAGCCUGCUUAAUAGGAUGUUUGGGAAAUGGAGAGGUUUCAUACUGACUUUGGCAACUACCAUCAUAAUUGUCAUGGCUGUGCUUGCUAUUUGUGGAUGUUGUAUUAUCCCUUGUCUCAGGAACCUGGUUCUCAGAAUUGUCCUCAAGGCCUUUGUGGGUAAGGACCCCUACGGCCAAUAUCAGCUGCUGUCCCUGGAUGAGGACAGGGUGGCCAUGGAAUCGCUCGCUCCAUUGAACGAUACCGGUGUAUCCUGUCUUUAAAUUUUUAAAUUUACAUUUUUUGUUUUGCUGUGCUUAGAUUAGGUUAAUUGAAUAUUGUAGUGAAAAAGGUAGUAGGUAUAGGGGUUGUUGAUCUUCUGAUUAUCAGAAGAUCAACUUGGGGGAUUGAAGGGAAUAUAGAAUACUAUAUUCUAAUAUGUAAUUCUAACUAGUUUGGAAGAGAAUGUGUAUUGGAGUAUAGGGGUAUUUGGCCCCAUCGGGGGGUAUUUGGAGACAGAUGUCAAGGAAGAAAGGAACUGCGGGGAGCCACUAUAAACAUUGAAUGCAGGAGACAUCGGCAGGUGACACCUGGAGGCGACGUCUGGAGCCAGAUCAGAUGGUCCGCAGAACAACGAUGACGUCAGAUUACGGACUAAUCAGACGACAGCGAUUCCAUACUGGCCUGUUUGAAACAUUGUAUAAAGUCUGAGGUAGCGUCAGAUAGUUUUGGUUCGACUACUUUAUCUGCUAAGGAUAAGAUAGGGAUAGUUACGAACCCAGAGCUCUGCAAAUGUAUAGACUCCUCUGUCAGGAAUAAAUUGGUUGGUUUUUAUA
This is a long non-coding RNA of Phyllopteryx taeniolatus (common seadragon), 3153 nucleotides long. RefSeq lists it as uncharacterized. NCBI's taxonomy places the organism in Eukaryota, Metazoa, Chordata, Actinopteri, Syngnathiformes, Syngnathidae. The record is from RefSeq and is a predicted model, not a curated record. The transcript is spliced from 2 exons.